UACAGAGGGGGCAAGCGUUGUUCGGAAUUACUGGGCGUAAAGCGCGUGUAGGCGGCCCUGCAAGUCGGGUGUGAAAUCCCAUGGCUCAACCAUGGAAGUGCACUCGAAACUGCAGGGCUAGAGUCCUGGAGAGGAAGGUGGAAUGCUUGGUGUAGAGGUGAAAUUCGUAGAUAUCAAGCGGAACACCGGUGGCGAAGGCGGCCUUCUGGACCGGCAUUGACGCUGAGGAGCGAAAGCCAGGGGAGCAAACGGG
Molecule: ribosomal RNA, 253 nt
Filed under: uncultured bacterium
Lineage: Bacteria
Description: partial 16S ribosomal RNA
Rfam family: Bacterial small subunit ribosomal RNA
Source: RNAcentral